UUUUUGUUAUUGAUAUAAGGUCAGGCCUGCCCAAUGAUAAUUUAAAUGGCUGCGGUAUUUUGACCGUGCAAAGGUAGCAUAAUCAUUAGUUUUUUAAUUGGAAGCUGGAAUGAAGGGUUUAACGAGAAAAGAACUGUCUUAAUUUAAUUUUUUGAAUUUUAUUUUUGAGUGAGAAGGCUUAAAUGAUUUUGAGGGACGAGAAGACCCUAUAGAAUUUUAUAAUUCUAAUAUUUUGGGGGUGUGGUUUAGGAUUCCCAAUUUAGUUAUGGAUUAGUUUGUUGGGGUGAUGGAAAAAUUUGAAUAACUUUUUUUUUAUAGGUUUCACUGAUAAGUGAAUGUUUGAUCCAUUAAGAUUGAUUAUAAGAAAAAAUUACCUUAGGGAUAACAGCGUAAUUAAUCUGGAGAGUUCAAAUCGAUAGAUUAGUUUGCGACCUCGAUGUUGGAUUAAAAUUGGCUUUUGGUGAAGGGAUUAAUAAGCUAAGUCUGUUCGACUUUUAAAAUUUU
Molecule: ribosomal RNA, 504 nt
Filed under: Lucanus mazama (cottonwood stag beetle)
Lineage: Eukaryota; Metazoa; Arthropoda; Insecta; Coleoptera; Lucanidae
Description: partial 16S ribosomal RNA
Rfam family: Bacterial large subunit ribosomal RNA
Source: RNAcentral